Molecule: ribosomal RNA, 553 nt
Filed under: uncultured bacterium
Lineage: Bacteria
Description: partial 16S ribosomal RNA
Rfam family: Bacterial small subunit ribosomal RNA
Source: RNAcentral
UAGGGAAUCUUCCACAAUGGACGCAAGUCUGAUGGAGCAACGCCGCGUGAGUGAAGAAGGUUUUCGGACCGUAAAGCUCUGUUGUUGGUGAAGAAGGAUAGAGGUAGUAACUGGCCUUUAUUUGACGGUAAUCAACCAGAAAGUCACGGCUAACUACGUGCCAGCAGCCGCGGUAAUCGUAGGUGGCAAGCGUUGUCCGGAUUUAUUGGGCGUAAAGCGAGCGCAGGCGGAAGAAUAAGUCUGAUGUGAAAGUCCUCGGCUUAACCGAGGAAUUGCAUCGGAAACUGUUUUCUUGAGUGCAGAAGAGGAGAGUAGAACUCCAUGUGUAGCGGUGGAAUGCGUAGAUAUAUGGAAGAAUACCAGUGGCGAAGGCGGCUCUCUGGUCUGCAACUGACGCUGAGGCUCGAAAGCAUGGGUAGCGAACAGGAUUAGAUACCCUGGUAGUCCAUGCCGUAAACGAUGAGUGCUAAGUGUUGGGAGGCUUCCGCCUCUCAGUGCUGCAGCUAACGCAUUAAGCACUCCGCCUGGGGGAGUACGACCGCAAGGUUGAAAC